This is a long non-coding RNA of Arabidopsis thaliana (thale cress), 252 nucleotides long. RefSeq annotates it as other RNA. The transcript has a single exon. The record is from RefSeq. NCBI's taxonomy places the organism in Eukaryota, Viridiplantae, Streptophyta, Magnoliopsida, Brassicales, Brassicaceae.
AAGUCUUAAAACGUGGAGCCGAAUCCAUUCGGGCAAAGCCGACUUGGUGACCAAGUUUUGUCCUGAGCAAUGCACGCCAACUUUAGCCAACUUGGUGAGCAAGUUUUGUCCCAAAGCCAACUUGGUGACCAAGUUUUGUCCCACUCCUCAUAUCCGAACCUUGAGCCUAUAAAUAGAACCUUACCCCCCCCCCCUUAGUUACACCUUAGAAGCUUUCGCACCAAAACUCUGCCCAAACCGAGAGGGAGAGAG